GAUGAACGCUGACAGAAUGCUUAACACAUGCAAGUCGAUGGGGAAGUGGUGCUUGCACCAUGGUAACCAUGGCGGACGGGUGAGUAACGCGUAAGGAACUUACCUGCGGGACCGGGAUAACAGCAGGAAACUGCUGACAAGACCGGAUAAGGUCAUUAAGCUGCAUUGCUUAGUGAUGAAAGGAGACGCCUGCGGAGAGCCUUGCGUCCUAUUAGCUAGUUGGAGGGGUAACGGCCCACCAAGGCGAAGAUAGGUAGCCGGCCUGAGAGGGUGGACGGCCACAAGGGGACUGAGAUACGGCCCUUACUCCUACGGUAGGCAGCAGUGGGGAAUAUUGGACAAUGGGGGCAACCCUGAUCCAGCAAUUCUGUGUGCACGAAGACGGUUUUCGGAUUGUAAAGUGCUUUCAGCAGGGAAGAAGGAAGUGACGGUACCUGCAGAAGAAGCGACGGCUAAAUACGUG
RNAcentral lists this ribosomal RNA (463 nucleotides) under uncultured bacterium. RNAcentral describes it as "partial 16S ribosomal RNA". It matches the Rfam family "Bacterial small subunit ribosomal RNA", at positions 28 to 507 of the family's 1533-position model. The record is from RNAcentral.